GAGGCGAGCAGCAGUCGCCGCACGGUGGCUGGCAGUGGUGGUGGGUCGGCUGGAAGGCGACGGCGCUCGAGGCGUGGCUGCAAUCGACGAGGGGCUGCGGCAACAGAGGAAGCUCUGUUUCUGCAACCGCUACAAGGAGGGGCUGCGGCAACCGGCGGCUGCGGCUGCGGUGCCGGCGGUCCUUCUCGCUCGAGCGAGAUGGGGACGCGAGGAGAAGAGGUCGCUGGCCGGGUGAUCGAGCGGCGGCGAUGCGGCUGGGAAAAGUGGUGGUGACGCGGCUGGGAACAAGGGCAAUCCGUGAGUUGCCCUGUUUCGGUCGCCGCGAGGAGGGCGACAAUCGGCGGCUGCGGCUGCGACCCAAGGGGAGGAGGGCGGCGGUGGAGAUGCAGCGGUGGUGGCG
Molecule: long non-coding RNA, 400 nt
Filed under: Musa acuminata (dwarf banana)
Lineage: Eukaryota; Viridiplantae; Streptophyta; Magnoliopsida; Zingiberales; Musaceae
Description: long non-coding RNA (MACU_LNC009229)
Source: RNAcentral